UCCUGGUUAGCUCAGUUGGUAGGGGGCUCCGCUGGAAAUGGAGAGGUCACUGGUUCGAAACUAGAACCAGGCG
RNAcentral lists this transfer RNA (73 nucleotides) under Ixodes scapularis (black-legged tick). Its description in RNAcentral is "tRNA-Ser for anticodon GGA". It matches the Rfam family "tRNA". Rfam says of the family: Transfer RNA (tRNA) molecules are approximately 80 nucleotides in length. Their secondary structure includes four short double-helical elements and three loops (D, anti-codon, and T loops). Lineage: Eukaryota; Metazoa; Arthropoda; Arachnida; Ixodida; Ixodidae. The record is from RNAcentral.